AAGGGCACCACAAGAACGCGUGGAGCAUGUGGCUUAAUUUGACUCAACGCGGGAAAUCUUACCGGGUCCGGACACACUGAGGAUUGACAGGUGUUUCGUAUAUAGACUUAACUUGUAUUUAUACUUGUUUUGCUUCUUAUACAUAUCAAAUAUGCUAGUCCUUUCAUGAUUGUGUGAUAGGUGGUGCAUGGCCGUUCUUAGUUCGUGGAGUGAUCUGUCUGCUUAAUUGCGUUUCACUUAUAGUAUUUGAUACACUAUAGUUAUUACUUGUGACCUCACUUUUAUAGUGACGAGUCCAGUAUAGCUUGUGUACUUUUACUUCGAAGGCAACGAACGUGACCG
This 342-nucleotide ribosomal RNA is filed under the name Foraminifera environmental sample. RNAcentral describes it as "SSU rRNA". It matches the Rfam family "Eukaryotic small subunit ribosomal RNA", at positions 1160 to 1418 of the family's 1831-position model. The record is from RNAcentral. Lineage: Eukaryota; Foraminifera.